This 226-nucleotide long non-coding RNA is filed under the name Linum usitatissimum (flax). RNAcentral's name for it is "long non-coding RNA (LUSI_LNC000304)". Lineage: Eukaryota; Viridiplantae; Streptophyta; Magnoliopsida; Malpighiales; Linaceae. The record is from RNAcentral.
AAACUGUUCCAGGAAGCAGAUGGAGAGGGGAGAGUUUUCACCGUUAGCUUGUUCAAGCCCUCGUGGGCUUGAUUCCAGAGAACCAUUUGACCUUAACCUUGGUAAAAAAGCUUCCUUUUUUUCACAUCCGUCAGAUAAAGGUUGUUUUAAAUCUUAGCAUGUCUGGUUUCUUGUCAAACUCAUCAGGCGCUAGAAUGUUCUACAACACUCAAGAGAUGCUACUGAG